CCAUGACCAGGGCCCUUCACUAUAGGGAGCAGGGUACCAUGACCAGGGCCCUUCACUAUAGGGAGCAGGGCGCCAGUUGGAACACGUUCAUGUUUAACCUCAGUGGAAUGUAUCACAGAAAUAAAAUGUCACGUCAAACCAAACGCAAAUAUGAUUGUGUUAAUGAAGACAUGGAGUCUGUAAUGAAUAUCUUCAGGGAGGGAAUCUGCACAGACAUGCACAGAGGGAGUAAUAGGAAUGACAAGAAAGAGAGGAACGGAAGCAUAGAGGCACACAGAGAGAGGGAGAGAGAGAGAGGGGGAAGAGAAAGAGAGAAGCUGAGGCAUGCACAUACAGAGAGAAAGAGAAGAGCUAGAGAAAGAGAGAGGGGGGCAGAGAGAGAGAGAGAGAGAAAGAGAGAGGGGGAGAGAGAGAUGAAGAGUGAAGCUGAGGCAUGCACAUACAGAGAGAGAGAGAGAGAGAGAGAGAGAGAGAAUCUCUCUGUAGGCUCAAAAAACCUCAGAAAACCUCAGCCUACGCCUUCACUACGGCGUGGGUGUGACAGACCGUAACCAUGGUACCCAAGCAAGGCAUGAUGCUGCUGCUGCUGCUCCUGGUCGUCACCACGGCAGCGGUGAUGGGACAGAGGCGUGAGCGUCGCCCGGAAACCACAGACGAAUGGAACUACAGGGCUGGCUCGGAGAAGGUAAACAUGCGUGGGGUGUCCAACCUCACCCAGGUUCUGGACAACUGGAGGUUUGACAUCCUCACUCAGAUGAAGACACUGCUCCAGAACGACCACCAGUCACUACUGCCAGACUACGCCAGGAUCCAGCCCCUAUCUGAGGCUCUGGAUGAUCUUUACAAGGAGUUCAACUCUCUCAAGGCUCACCUUGGUGAACUCACAGAGAAAUUCGUCGCCAUAGAAACCUUCAUCGACGAGGUCAAGACUGAGCGGGCCAAUGGUGGCACCUUGGCCCCCGCCUCCAACCCAAACCCCGUCUCCAACCCAGUACCAGCUAGGAGGAGAGUGGUCAAAAAGAAAGCUCCCGCCUCUUAAAUGACUAAAACUCCACGCCAUCCCACUGACCCCACCCAACUCAUCCUACCCACCCCACCCUACUUUGCCCCACCCCACCCCAUCCCACUGCACAAACCCUACUCCAUCCCACCCUAUCCCUGCAGCCUUAUUUUACUGCUUUAUAGAGUUAAAGUUCUUUGGUAUUAUUAUUAUUUGUAACUUUAUAAACAGUUUAGCCCGCUGCGCUGACAUUCUGGGGAUUCAUUCUCAAUUCUGUAUGUAAGGUUAGUAGGCAUUUAUCAGACAAAACCAUUCUGAUAGUGAAAUACAUUUAAAAAAUACAUUUUAAACUCACCUGACUGUAGAGAAAGAGGGAGGGAGAGAGAGAGAGAGAGAGAGAGAGAGAGAGAGAGAGAGAGAGAGAGAGAGAGAGAGAAAGAUCGAGAAAGAUCCACCAUUGUGGUCUCACAAUGGUGAAUCGAAUGAAAUAAGCUUCAAAUAAAACCUAAUUAUUCUGUAUACAUUUAUGAAGAUAAAUAAAUAUGUUGUUUCUUUGCAUCAAUUCAAUGUCUACAUCCUCCCUAACAAGGCCUGGCUCUACACAUCCUAGUACAGUCUGUCUCUACACAUCCUAGUACAGUCUGUCUCUACACAUCCUAGUACAGUCUGUCUCUACACAUCCUAGUACAGUCUGUCUCUACACAUCCUAGUACAGUCUGUCUCUAUACAUCCUAGUGCAGUCUGGCUCUACACAUCCUAGUACAGUCUGUCUCUACACAUCCUAGUACAGUCUGUCUCUAUACAUCCUAGUGCAGUCUGUCUCUACACAUCCUAGUACAGUCUGUCUCUACACAUCCUAGUACAGUCUGUCUCUAC
RNAcentral lists this long non-coding RNA (1876 nucleotides) under Salmo salar (Atlantic salmon). RNAcentral's name for it is "lncRNA (ENSSSAG00000093733.1)". Lineage: Eukaryota; Metazoa; Chordata; Actinopteri; Salmoniformes; Salmonidae. The record is from RNAcentral.